RNAcentral lists this small nuclear RNA (188 nucleotides) under Dasypus novemcinctus (nine-banded armadillo). RNAcentral's name for it is "U2 spliceosomal RNA (ENSDNOG00000027748.1)". It matches the Rfam family "U2 spliceosomal RNA". Rfam says of the family: U2 is a small nuclear RNA (snRNA) component of the spliceosome (involved in pre-mRNA splicing). Complementary binding between U2 snRNA (in an area lying towards the 5' end but 3' to hairpin I) and the branchpoint sequence (BPS) of the intron results the bulging out of an unpaired adenosine, on the BPS, which initiates a nucleophilic attack at the intronic 5' splice site, thus starting the first of two transesterification reactions that mediate splicing. The record is from RNAcentral. Lineage: Eukaryota; Metazoa; Chordata; Mammalia; Cingulata; Dasypodidae.
AUCGCUUCUCAGCCUUUUGGCUAAGAUCAUGGGUAGUAUCUGUUCUUAUCAGUUUAAUAACAGACUAACAAAAAGCUUAAAGGUAAAAUAUGAGGAAUGAGAUGAUGAGAUGUUCAUAAGCGUUUUGAAAAGUCUGCACAUAUUGCUGGGAAUCUAGAGGCCACAUGCAGGUGUAAGGCUGAGAGCAU